UACAGAGGUCUCGAGCGUUAGGCGGAAUCACUGGGCUUAAAGCGUGUGUAGGUGGAUGCCUAAGUACCUUGUGAAAUCCCACGGCUUAACCGUGGAACUGCUUGGUAUACUGCUUAUCUUGGGCCAUCUAGGGGCGAGCGGAACAAACGGUGGAGCGGUGAAAUGCGUAGAUAUCGUUUGGAACGCCAAUGGUGAAAACAGCUCGCUGGGGAUGUGCCGACGCUGAGAUACGAAAGCCAGGGGAGCAAACAGG
RNAcentral lists this ribosomal RNA (253 nucleotides) under uncultured bacterium. RNAcentral's name for it is "partial 16S ribosomal RNA". It matches the Rfam family "Bacterial small subunit ribosomal RNA", at positions 524 to 776 of the family's 1533-position model. The record is from RNAcentral.